This is a long non-coding RNA of Gasterosteus aculeatus aculeatus (three-spined stickleback), 380 nucleotides long. The record is from Ensembl. NCBI's taxonomy places the organism in Eukaryota, Metazoa, Chordata, Actinopteri, Perciformes, Gasterosteidae.
GAGCUGUUCCUAAAUAAUCAAGCGGAGCUGCACGCUGCCGACUGGCUGUGUUCAAAUUGGGUCUGAGUUCCCGGGGUCCCCGAGGCCGCGGGGUCUGCUCGAUGGAGACGGCAGGACGAGAACAGCGUGUGAAAUAACAGGAUGCUGCGGAGUCGGCCGGCAGCCUGAGGGGCGGAUCCGUCGGCGGUGAUUGGCUCUGCUUGCGCGCCAAUGAGGUAGACCGAGGCAGUGCGUGACAGCGUGGUUUGACUGUGAGCAGUAAUGAGGCCCCGAGCUGCCGCCGCGCUGAGGAGACGCUUCGACGGCCGAGACAGGAGGAUGACCUUGUUGACCAUGAACACACACACGGAAAGCAUACUUAUCUUCUUCUGUAAAGUUCA